CAGUCGCCGCGGUAAUACGUAGGGUGCAAGCGUUAAUCGGAAUUACUGGGCGUAAAGCGUGCGCAGGCGGUUAUAUAAGACAGAUGUGAAAUCCCCGGGCUCAACCUGGGACCUGCAUUUGUGACUGUAUAGCUAGAGUACGGUAGAGGGGGAUGGAAUUCCGCAUGUAGCAGUGAAAUGCGUAGAUAUGCGGAGGAACACCGAUGGCGAAGGCAAUCCCCUGGACCUGUACUGACGCUCAUGCACGAAAGCGUGGGGAGCAAACAGGAUUAGAUACCCGGGUAGUCCCUGUCUCUUAUAA
RNAcentral lists this ribosomal RNA (301 nucleotides) under uncultured bacterium. Its description in RNAcentral is "partial 16S ribosomal RNA". It matches the Rfam family "Bacterial small subunit ribosomal RNA", at positions 509 to 809 of the family's 1533-position model. The record is from RNAcentral.